AGUUGCCAGCAUUCAGUUGGGGACUCUAAGGAGACCGCCGGUGUCAAACCGGAGGAAGGUGGGGACGACGUCAAGUCAUCAUGGCCUUUAUGUCCAGGGCUGCACACGUCAUACAAUGCGGCGUACAAAGGGCAGCAAACCCGCGAGGGGGAGCUAAUCUCAAAAAGCGUCGCUCAGUUCGGAUUGCAGGCUGCAACUCGCCUGCAUGAAGCUGGAAUCGCUAGUAAUCGCAGAUCAGCUAUGCUGCGGUGAAUAUGUUCCUGAGCCUUGUACACACCGCCCGUCAAGCCACGAAAGCGGGGGGUGCCUGAAGUCGCUGUGCUAACCGAAAGGAGGCAGGUGCCUAGGGCAAACUUCGUGAUUGGGACUAAGUCGUAACAAGGUAGCCGUAGGGGAACCUGCGGCUGGAU
RNAcentral lists this ribosomal RNA (410 nucleotides) under Planctomycetaceae bacterium. RNAcentral's name for it is "bacterial SSU rRNA". It matches the Rfam family "Bacterial small subunit ribosomal RNA", at positions 1113 to 1523 of the family's 1533-position model. The record is from RNAcentral. Lineage: Bacteria; Pseudomonadati; Planctomycetota; Planctomycetia; Planctomycetales; Planctomycetaceae.